GUGCCAGCAGCCGCGGUAAUACGGAGGGUGCAAGCGUUAUCCGGAUUCAUUGGGUUUAAAGGGUGCGCAGGCGGAUUAUUAAGUUAGUGGUGAAAUCCCGGGGCUCAACCUCGGAACUGCCAUUAAUACUGGUAAUCUGGAAUACGGUUGAAGUGGGCGGAAUGUAGCAUGUAGCGGUGAAAUGCAUAGAGAUGCUACAGAACACCGAUCGCGAAGGCAGCUCACUAAGCCGAUAUUGACGCUCAGGCACGAGAGCGUGGGGAGCGAACAGGAUUAGAUACCCUGGUAGUCCACGCCCUAAACGAUGAGGACUAGACGUUGGGGGGAUAAAACCCUUUAGUGUCGCAGCUAACGCGUGAAGUCCUCCGCCUGGGGAGUACGGCCGCAAGGUUGAAACUUAAAGGAAUUGGCGG
This 413-nucleotide ribosomal RNA is filed under the name uncultured bacterium. Its description in RNAcentral is "bacterial SSU rRNA". It matches the Rfam family "Bacterial small subunit ribosomal RNA", at positions 505 to 916 of the family's 1533-position model. The record is from RNAcentral.